Molecule: long non-coding RNA, 718 nt
Organism: Pristis pectinata (smalltooth sawfish)
Lineage: Eukaryota; Metazoa; Chordata; Chondrichthyes; Rhinopristiformes; Pristidae
Exons: 3
Source: RefSeq, a predicted model, not a curated record
CUGGGCAGGAAGCCAAAGAAGCAAAGAGAGACUGUAUUUAGAAAAUUCAGCUGCUCGGGAAAAAGGGUGUUGAAAACCAAGUUGUAACAGCAGCAAGGCAGAAUGUGGUAGAGGCAUCCAUGGGCAUCCAAAGGAACAAGGCAAGGCCAACAGGGAGUGGUUUGUCAUGUGGAUCCAGCCUGCCACUGCGUGGACACAGCUGUGGUUAAUUUACCGUGAAGGGAAGACAGACUGAGUGGGAACCAUUGACUUCCAGAACUUGUUCACCCAGACAGUGCAGCUGGAGAUAGGGAUGUAUGACCCAGCAUAACACCUUCACAUAAAAACAUAAAGAACGUUACUCACUUUGCUCUGAUUUUCGGUGUGCAGGCAUGAGCCCAAUGAAUCACUGAAUUAUAGAACACUGCGGCAAACUGGAAGGCUAUUCAGCCCCUUUAGUCCAUGCCAGCAGUGCCAUCAGUCCCACUGUCGAGGACAUCUACAAGAGGCGAUGUCUCAGGAAGGCAACAUCCAUCCUCAGGGACCCCCACCAUCCGGGCCGUGCCCUCUUCUUGAUGCUGCCAUCAGGCAGGAGGUACAGGAGCCUGAAGACCCACACUGCAAGGUUCAACAACAGCUUCUUCCCCAAUGCAAUCAGGUUCUUGAAUCCACCCGAAAAACCCCAACUCUACCUCGGACUGUAUUUCCCUCAAUUUGCAUUAAUGCCGUUAUGUUUCAU